This 253-nucleotide ribosomal RNA is filed under the name uncultured bacterium. RNAcentral's name for it is "partial 16S ribosomal RNA". It matches the Rfam family "Bacterial small subunit ribosomal RNA", at positions 524 to 776 of the family's 1533-position model. The record is from RNAcentral.
UACGUAGGGUGCAAGCGUUGUCCGGAAUUAUUGGGCGUAAAGAGCUCGUAGGCGGUCUGUCGCGUCGGCUGUGAAAACCUGGGGCUCAACUCCGGGCCUGCAGCCGAUACGGGCAAGCUAGAAUUCGGUAGGGGAGACUGGAAUUCCUGGUGUAGCGGUGAAAUGCGCAGAUAUCAGGAGGAACACCGGUGGCGAAGGCGGGUCUCUGGGCCGAUAUUGACGCUGAGGAGCGAAAGCAUGGGGGGCGAACAGG